RNAcentral lists this ribosomal RNA (253 nucleotides) under uncultured bacterium. RNAcentral describes it as "partial 16S ribosomal RNA". It matches the Rfam family "Bacterial small subunit ribosomal RNA", at positions 524 to 776 of the family's 1533-position model. The record is from RNAcentral.
UACGAAGGGGGCUAGCGUUGCUCGGAAUCACUGGGCGUAAAGCGCACGUAGGCGGCUUUUUAAGUCAGGGGUGAAAUCCUGGAGCUCAACUCCAGAACUGCCUUUGAUACUGGGAAACUUGAGUCCGGGAGAGGUGAGUGGAACUCCGAGUGUAGAGGUGAAAUUCGUAGAUAUUCGGAAGAACACCAGUGGCGAAGGCGGCUCACUGGCCCGGUACUGACGCUGAGGUGCGAAAGCGUGGGGAGCAAACAGG